Chrysemys picta bellii (western painted turtle) is the source of this 856-nucleotide non-coding RNA. NCBI's taxonomy places the organism in Eukaryota, Metazoa, Chordata, Testudines, Emydidae. The record is from RefSeq and is a predicted model, not a curated record.
UGGAGGUGGGGAAAGCUGUGGGAGGGCUAGAUGCUCUGAUAUCUUGGACAGAGCGGAUACUCCUUGCCUCCAAGCGAUCUCCUCCUCCCUCCCCCUUCACAAACACGUCCCUAGCGGCAGAAGGCUCCGAUCCGCAGCAGAGCCACUUCCACCCAGCGUCAGCAGGACAAGGUAGGAUCAGGAUUUGACCUCAGUGUGCCAUCCCCUUCCUGCAUGGUGAGAAGGAACUGGACUUGGGGUAUAGAAAUGAGAACUUAAAUUCUGUCAGUUUAGUUGGAUGGAUGACAUUGAUUCAACCUCUUUUCCCCCAUGGUGACUGCAGAAGAUAUAAAUUUGGAACGCCACCCCAGUAGGGUUGGUUAUUGAGUUAUACCCUAGUCUCAUGGAAAUAAGUCUUUCAGUGAAACUUCAAAUCUGCCUUAACCAAGGCUCCCUAUCAUCAGGACCAGGACUAUCUGCAACAGGGAACAGCUCCAACCUGUAAGUGGCAUAACCACUCCUGUGGGAGGGACUGAGUCUAUAAAUACACUGAAUGCCUGCAGCCACAUAAGCACAGCUGCUGAUGCAGCAGAGCAGCCAGAAAGAGGUGCAUUUAAUUAACCAAGAGAAAGAAAAGGACCUGGGAUGGAAGUGGAGAGAUGGAAAAUACGGAAACAAGGUGUGCGCCUUCUAUACAGCUCACUCUAGGCGAGAUGGGUUGGAAGGAAAGAAGUCAAGAGGAAAAACAACUCGUUUGAAUUUGCAAGAACAGGUGGCUUUUCAAGCCCUCUGGCCCCCAAUCCAUGUGAUCCUAUUUAUCCUCCCUCCUAAGUUGCUAGACCUCUGUUUGGGUAGGAGCUGAUGGUCCACCAUUGCA